This 230-nucleotide long non-coding RNA is filed under the name Elaeis guineensis (African oil palm). RNAcentral's name for it is "long non-coding RNA (EGUI_LNC055199)". Lineage: Eukaryota; Viridiplantae; Streptophyta; Magnoliopsida; Arecales; Arecaceae. The record is from RNAcentral.
GAGAAUGAACAGUUUCUGAUCUAUGAUUUAUAGAAUAUAUGAAAGAUUAAAUUUAAGUACUAAUUAAUUUUAGAUUAGAUCUAAAUUAAUUGGACUUAAAUGGUUCUAAAAUCUAAGUUAGACUUGGUACAAAAGUCCUAAAGAAUUUGAGAUUGACAGCCUUUCGAAAUUAUUUCGAACCAGCUUCGAAUCGGAUUCGAAUCAGAUCUGUUUUGGAUGAGAUAUGAGUA